CCCACAAGUCAGCAGAGUUUUUGUCAGCCACCACGAUGACAGCAAGAAGCUCUCUCACAGGACAGAACCUCAGCAAAGCGAACGAAGAUUUCAUGAAACAGAUGUGCAGUGCUGCUGUCUCCUGCUCAGCCUUGGACCUGGCUGCUGCUCUGAGGGACAUCCAGAUAUAGGAUGAAAAAAUCGCAGCCAAGAACCUGCAGGUUACAAUUCAAAAACCUGCGUUUCCGCCUGCCAAGAGAAGCUCGUCCGCCUUCAGCCCCAGCCGCCCGUGUUUGC
This is a long non-coding RNA of Calypte anna (Anna's hummingbird), 276 nucleotides long. RefSeq lists it as uncharacterized. The record is from RefSeq and is a predicted model, not a curated record. The transcript is spliced from 3 exons. NCBI's taxonomy places the organism in Eukaryota, Metazoa, Chordata, Aves, Apodiformes, Trochilidae.